This 351-nucleotide ribosomal RNA is filed under the name uncultured Erwinia sp. Its description in RNAcentral is "bacterial SSU rRNA". It matches the Rfam family "Bacterial small subunit ribosomal RNA", at positions 1037 to 1387 of the family's 1533-position model. The record is from RNAcentral. Lineage: Bacteria; Pseudomonadati; Pseudomonadota; Gammaproteobacteria; Enterobacterales; Erwiniaceae.
GGUGCUGCAUGGCUGUCGUCAGCUCGUGUUGUGAAAUGUUGGGUUAAGUCCCGCAACGAGCGCAACCCUUAUCCUUUGUUGCCAGCGAGUAAUGUCGGGAACUCAAAGGAGACUGCCGGUGAUAAACCGGAGGAAGGUGGGGAUGACGUCAAGUCAUCAUGGCCCUUACGGCCAGGGCUACACACGUGCUACAAUGGCGCAUACAAAGAGAAGCGACCUCGCGAGAGCAAGCGGACCUCAUAAAGUGCGUCGUAGUCCGGAUCGGAGUCUGCAACUCGACUCCGUGAAGUCGGAAUCGCUAGUAAUCGUAGAUCAGAAUGCUACGGUGAAUACGUUCCCGGGCCUUGUACA